Molecule: ribosomal RNA, 357 nt
Filed under: Triticum aestivum (bread wheat)
Lineage: Eukaryota; Viridiplantae; Streptophyta; Magnoliopsida; Poales; Poaceae
Description: partial small subunit ribosomal RNA
Source: RNAcentral
AUGAAAACAGUUUGUGCUGCCGAAUAUUCUGUUCAUGAUGCUGUAGACUGGACGAAUUAUGAGGAUGGCAGAGGAGUCACGGACUCGAACUGGGAACUACGUAUAUGCUUCCUGUGUUCCGGAAGUAUAGGAGCUGACAUUUUCUUCUUCUUUUUGCGGUUUUUUCUUGUACUCUUUGUUUGGGGAGAAAGACUAUUGCGUGAACUACCGACAACUGUAUCUUCUCUUGCGACCCAGCAAAUAAAUAAAACAGAAGUGGAUCUGGGUUGUGUGUACGAUCGUAUCAAAGUAUGCAAGCAAGUUGCUCAUAAAUUUUUAUAUGAAAAAGUUGCUACCCUGGCCACCGCGUCACUCUGA